Helianthus annuus (common sunflower) is the source of this 1583-nucleotide long non-coding RNA. RefSeq lists it as uncharacterized. The record is from RefSeq and is a predicted model, not a curated record. Lineage: Eukaryota; Viridiplantae; Streptophyta; Magnoliopsida; Asterales; Asteraceae. The transcript has 2 exons.
GUCUCUAAAAAUUUAAACCCCAAAAACUUCCUCUCAUCUCGCACCUCACCUCUCCUCUCCACCAUCUGCUUGCCGCCUGCUCAACCUUACAUGGUUCCAGCCCUAAUCGACGAAACCUAAACCCUAAUCAAAUAUCACGGUCCCUAAACACAUUUGAAGAGGUGAUCAGAACCCCUAACCUUCUUUAUGUGUAUCUUGUCGGAUUGUGUGUAUAUCUAGUUUUAUAUUUGUACUAUAUAUAUGUGUAUUCAAGAUUAUUGGGGAUUUGAAAUCUUUGAAAGCAUAAUAGUGUUUGAAAUUGGUUAGUUAUUAUCCAGAUAUUAUUAUGUUGUAGAGACCUUAUAGAAGGUGCGAGGGCAUCCACGGGUAUCAUCGUUCUCGAUCUUUAUCUCGACCUCGAAUUCAGCCCCUUAGCCCCUUUUCUCUCCGUAAAUCUUCCCUUUUUUGACCUAGAUUCGUCAUUGAUUUUUGUGGAUUUUUUUUGGGAAUUUAUUGUUUUUGUGAUUGAGUUAUGAAACAGUGGUUUUGUAUGAAUUGUGAUGUUUUUUUGCCAGUUUUAAAAGAUCCCAUGUGACAUGCCUGGUCUAUUGGUCCUAGUCUAUUCAAGAAAAUAUUCUAAAUCCCACAGGUGCCGGUAGUUCUAGUAUUUCAACAUGUUUUCUAGCAAGUCAUGUUUAGUUGUCUUGUUUUAAUAGUAGUAUACUUGAUCUUGUCUUACAAUCUACUUUUAUGUCAAUGUAAAGAUUUGUUUCCAGUUACAUUAAGGAACCAUUUGCUAUCUAAUGCAGGGAGACCCAGCCGGUGCAACAAAAUUUGGAUUAAAACAAAAAGCACCACCGCCAUCAUCACCAAGCGUUGCAGGUUUUGUCCACGAGAAAGAUAUCACCGUUGUGUUUUCAAUCUUUUGUAGAUCUUGCUAGUGAGAUUAACUUAAGGUUAAAACAUUUACAUACAUACUAUAAUAGUUUACUAGUCAGCUAGUUUUCCUUUUGAGAUAUAAACAUCUAUUUUUAAUUAUUAGUUUCUUUGUUGUGUCAUAUAACAAGAGGGAUUAAGAAUAUCCGACCCUUUAUCACAUUCUAGAUUUUAUCCUCUAAUUAAUGUUAGUGCUAAAGCUGAAAACGCGUUGAUGAUAAGUGCAACGCUUUGUGCUCAAGGUGCGCUUGACCCGAAGAAGGUUAAUCGGAAGAUUUUGUUGUGCUUAAGGUGAGGCAAUAUGGGUCGGCUUGACAAGGGCAUAGUGGCUCCACGUGCGGGUGCUUCUGGCAUGAUUCUUUGCAAUGCUGAAGAAGCCAAUAAAGAUGAAAUAAUAGCUGAUCUUCAUGUGCUGCCAGCGACACACAUCACUAUGCUGACGAGCUUUGUCUCUACGCUUACCUUAACUCUACCAUGUAACUACCGUCAUUCCAAAAUGGGCUGGCCCGACCCGGCCCAUAUUUCCACUUCUAUUUAUCAGUAUUUGUUGAUCAACUACUUCCUUGGAUACACUAAUUAAUAUACAACCAAUUGUUAAACUAAAAUCUCACACAUGGGAAGACAUCACAUAUUCCAAGUCAUAACAAAUUUAUAGAUCUCUUAAUCCA